RNAcentral lists this small RNA (449 nucleotides) under Pan troglodytes (chimpanzee). Its description in RNAcentral is "retained intron". The record is from RNAcentral. Lineage: Eukaryota; Metazoa; Chordata; Mammalia; Primates; Hominidae.
AGUGGGAGACUAAGAGGGUUCCCAGCACUCUCCACAUUCUGCUUUUUUCCUCUGUCCCCAUCCACUUAACCUGGUUGGUGUUUAUGAUGGCAGCCGAGCCUCAGCCUAGGAGCCCAGUGAGGAGCCGGGGCGUCUUCCUGGGGCAGCGGGUUUGUGGGCCCAUGUUCCUAACCCUCUUCCCCACUCAGGAAGAAGCUUCAGCUGCUGAUGUUGGGCCCUUUCCAAUACGCCUUCUUGAAGAUAACGCUGACCCUGGUGGGCCUGUUUCUCAUCCCCGACGGCAUCUAUGACCCAGCAGACAUUUCUGAGGGGAGCACAGCUCUAUGGAUCAACACUUUCCUCGGCGUGUCCACACUGCUGGCUCUCUGGACCCUGGGCAUCAUUUCCCGUCAAGCCAGGCUACACCUGGGUGAGCAGAACAUGGGAGCCAAAUUUGCUCUGUUCCAGGU